GUGAAUCAGGCAAACAUGGCAAGCAUCCUUGCAAAAUGAAGUCAUUUUGGAAUUUUCAUGAGAAACACAUAAUUCCAAAAUCCCACCAACUCCUUUUAAUCAAACUUAAUUAAAGACUAAAUGGCGUCCUUGAAACAGGUCACAAAUAAGAGUAAUUUUUAACAUAUUAAGCUUAGUUCUUAAAUCUAAAUGCGACAAUUGGAGCAAUUUUUAACAUAUUAAGCUUAGUUCUUAAAUCUAAAUGCGACAAUUGGAGCAAUGUUUAACAUAUUAUGAAUAGCUUUUAUAUAAACAAGAUUUUCUGAGAUAAAGUGAGUGCAAUGUGAAACUGCAAAAUGCCACCAGAGUUAAUCCUUGGUUAGACAUCUACUUCUCCUUUAUCAUUCAUCAAAUUAAUC
RNAcentral lists this long non-coding RNA (398 nucleotides) under Theobroma cacao (cacao). RNAcentral's name for it is "long non-coding RNA (TCAC_LNC004627)". The record is from RNAcentral. Lineage: Eukaryota; Viridiplantae; Streptophyta; Magnoliopsida; Malvales; Malvaceae.